AUUGAACGCUGGCGGCAGGCCUAACACAUGCAAGUCGAGCGGAUGAAGGGAGCUUGCUCCUGGAUUCAGCGGCGGACGGGUGAGUAAUGCCUAGGAAUCUGCCUAGUAGUGGGGGAUAACGUCCGGAGACGGGCGCUAAUACAGCAUACGUCCUGAAGGAGAAAGUGGGGGAUCUUCGGACCUCACGCUAUCAGAUGAGCCUAGGUCGGAUUAGCUAGUUGGUGGGGUAAAGGCUUACCAAGGCGACGAUCCGUAACUGGUCUGAGAGGAUGAUCAGUCACACUGGAACUGAGACACGGUCCAGACUCCUACGGGAGGCAGCAGUGGGGAAUAUUGGACAAUGGGCGAAAGCCUGACCGAGCCAUGCCGCGUGUGUGAAGAAGGUCUUCGGAUUGUAAAGCACUUUAAGUAGGGAGGAAGGGCAGUAAGUUAAUACCUGGCUGUUUUGACGGUACCAACAGAAUAAGCACCGGCUAACUACGUG
Molecule: ribosomal RNA, 484 nt
Filed under: uncultured bacterium
Lineage: Bacteria
Description: partial 16S ribosomal RNA
Rfam family: Bacterial small subunit ribosomal RNA
Source: RNAcentral